ACGGCGAGUGAAGCGGCAACAGCUCAAAUUUGAAAUCUGGCCCUCGGGCCCGAGUUGUAAUUUGCAGAGGAUGCUUCUGGCGCGGUGCCUUCCGAGUUCCCUGGAACGGGACGCCACAGAGGGUGAGAGCCCCGUAUGGUCGGACACCAAGCCUGUGUGAAGCUCCUUCGACGAGUCGAGUAGUUUGGGAAUGCUGCUCAAAAUGGGAGGUAAAUCUCUUCUAAAGCUAAAUACCGGCCAGAGACCGAUAGCGCACAAGUAGAGUGAUCGAAAGAUGAAAAGCACCUUGAAAAGGGGGUUAAACAGUACGUGAAAUUGUUGAAAGGGAAGCGCUUGUGACCAGACUUGUGCCGGGCGGCUCAUCAGGGGUUCUCCCCUGUGUAUUCCGCCCGGUUCAGGCCAGCAUCGGUUCUCACCGGGGGAUAAGAACGGUAGGAACGUGGCUCCCCCUCGGGGGAGUGUUAUAGCCUGCCGUACGAUACCCUGGCGGGGACCGAGGUUCGCGCUCCGCAAGGAUGCUGGCGUAAUGGUCAUCAGCGACCCGUCUUGAAACACGGACCAAGGAGUCGUCCAUUAGAGCGAGCGUUUGGGUGUAAAACCCGCACGCGUAAUGAAAGUGAAAUUAGGUGAGAGCUUCGGCGCAUCAUCGACCGAUCCUGAUGUUCUCGGAUGGAUUUGAGUAAGAGUUUUAACGGACGGACCCGAAAGACAGUGAACUAUGCUUGUAUAGGGUGAAGCCAGAGGAAACUCUGGUGGAGGCUCGCAGCGGUUCUGACGUGCAAAUCGAUCGUCAAAUAUGAGCAUGGGGGCGAAAG
RNAcentral lists this ribosomal RNA (815 nucleotides) under Melanconiella syzygii. RNAcentral's name for it is "eukaryotic LSU rRNA". It matches the Rfam family "Eukaryotic large subunit ribosomal RNA", at positions 86 to 929 of the family's 3401-position model. Lineage: Eukaryota; Fungi; Ascomycota; Sordariomycetes; Diaporthales; Melanconiellaceae. The record is from RNAcentral.